CUGUCGCUGGUGCAACGGAUAGCGCAACCGGCUUCUACCCGGUAGAUGGGGGUUCGAUUCCUCCGCGACAGGCCA
RNAcentral lists this transfer RNA (75 nucleotides) under Delftia tsuruhatensis. RNAcentral's name for it is "tRNA-Arg(tct)". It matches the Rfam family "tRNA". Rfam says of the family: Transfer RNA (tRNA) molecules are approximately 80 nucleotides in length. Their secondary structure includes four short double-helical elements and three loops (D, anti-codon, and T loops). The record is from RNAcentral. Lineage: Bacteria; Pseudomonadati; Pseudomonadota; Betaproteobacteria; Burkholderiales; Comamonadaceae.